AAGAUUUUAAGUUAAUAAAACUACUAGCCUUCAAAGCUAGAAAUAAAAAAAAUUUUUUAAAUCUUA
Molecule: transfer RNA, 66 nt
Filed under: Ducetia japonica
Lineage: Eukaryota; Metazoa; Arthropoda; Insecta; Orthoptera; Tettigoniidae
Description: tRNA-Trp
Source: RNAcentral